GAUUAAAUGGCUGAAGUUUAGGCGUUAGAUUGUAAAUCUAUUCAUGGGAAUUUAUCUCUUUAAUCA
RNAcentral lists this transfer RNA (66 nucleotides) under Dolichopus galeatus. RNAcentral describes it as "tRNA-Tyr". It matches the Rfam family "tRNA". Rfam says of the family: Transfer RNA (tRNA) molecules are approximately 80 nucleotides in length. The record is from RNAcentral. Lineage: Eukaryota; Metazoa; Arthropoda; Insecta; Diptera; Dolichopodidae.